Molecule: long non-coding RNA, 239 nt
Filed under: Arabidopsis thaliana (thale cress)
Lineage: Eukaryota; Viridiplantae; Streptophyta; Magnoliopsida; Brassicales; Brassicaceae
Description: long non-coding RNA (ATHA_LNC000473)
Source: RNAcentral
GUAGAGAGAAUCAUCUUCUCCAAACAAUCACUAAACGCCAUUUGCUUAGCUUUUUCCCUCUUUUGAUUUUUCCUCCCUACACGUCACCUCUCUCUUCUUCUCACCGGAAAAAAGUCUUCACCUUUCACCGGAAAAUAUCACCUUUUCAACCGGCGUAUGUUCACAUGAACGGCACAACAUCAUCAAUCAACUUCUUGACCUCCGACGAUGACGCGUCGGCGGCGGCUAUGGAAGCUUUC